This 506-nucleotide ribosomal RNA is filed under the name uncultured bacterium. Its description in RNAcentral is "partial 16S ribosomal RNA". It matches the Rfam family "Bacterial small subunit ribosomal RNA", at positions 29 to 523 of the family's 1533-position model. The record is from RNAcentral.
AGUGAACGCUGGCGGUAGGCCUAACACAUGCAAGUCGAACGGCAGCACAGGAGAGCUUGCUCUCUGGGUGGCGAGUGGCGGACGGGUGAGGAGUACAUCGGAAUCUACUUUUUCGUGGGGGAUAACGUAGGGAAACUUACGCUAAUACCGCAUACGACCUACGGGUGAAAGCAGGGGACCUUCGGGCCUUGCGCGAUUGAAUGAGCCGAUGUCGGAUUAGCUAGUUGGCGGGGUAAAGGCCCACCAAGGCGACGAUCCGUAGCUGGUCUGGGAGGAUGAUCAGCCACACUGGAACUGAGACACGGUCCAGACUCCUACGGGAGGCAGCAGUGGGGAAUAUUGGACAAUGGGCGCAAGCCUGAUCCAGCCAUACCGCGUGGGUGAAGAAGGCCUUCGGGUUGUAAAGCCCUUUUGUUGGGAAAGAAAUCCAGCUGGCUAAUACCCGGUUGGGAUGACGGUACCCAAAGAUUAAGCACCGGCUAACUUCGUGCCAGCCGCCGCCGUAA